This 399-nucleotide ribosomal RNA is filed under the name uncultured bacterium. Its description in RNAcentral is "bacterial SSU rRNA". It matches the Rfam family "Bacterial small subunit ribosomal RNA", at positions 29 to 412 of the family's 1533-position model. The record is from RNAcentral.
AGCGAACGUUAGCGGCAGGCCUAACACAUGCAAGUCGAGCGAGAAAGGGGCUUCGGCUCCUAGUAAAGCGGCGGACGGGUGCGUAACACGUGGAUAAUCUGCCUUUCAGUGGGGAAUAACACUCCGAAAGGAGUGCUAAUGCCGCAUGUCACAACGAGAUCUCCGGAUCAUGUUGGAAAAGGGGACGCCCGCAAGGGGUUCUCGCUGGAGGAUGAGUCCGCGGCCCANCAGCUAGUUGGUGAGGUAACGGCUCACCAAGGCAAAGACGGGUAGCUGGUCUGAGAGGAUGAUCAGCCACACUGGGACUGAGACACGGCCCAGACUCCUACGGAAGGCAGCAGUGGGGAAUAUUGGACAAUGGGCGCAAGCCUGAUCCAGCCAUGCCGCGUGAGUGAUGAA